UAGUUCAGCUUUUCAGGGUCCACACUUUUCUGAAAACAGUGUGUGCAUAUUCUCUAUAGAAAGCAAGUGAAAUAGAUGAUCUCCCAUGUGCAUUCCAGGCUCAUUUUGGCAUUAUCUCAGCUGAUUCCAGGUAGCUAAGACAGGUGUCCAAAAGGAGAGGAAUGAAGGAACUAAAGAAAAGAGAGAUUAAGCUUCUCACUCUCCUAACUGGGGCCUGAGGAAGGUUCAGCUCUUCAUCUCUUGCAGCUUUUGUUCUAGUUUUGUCUGGCAAUAAUGCUUGCCAAGCUUAUGAAUAUUUUCCAAACUGAAAUUUCCCACUGUAUGCAGUGCCCUGAAGAUGGUGCUUCUGUUACAGGGAUAUCUUUAAUCAAGGAUGGAUGUGGGUGUUGCUAGAAUUGCAGUAUGCUUCUCCCACAUCCAUUGCAGAAAACAGCUUUCUAACCUGGAUUGCUUGUGUGACUAAGAUUGUGUCUGGAUAUGAAGAAAGGAGGAGAUGGGGUUUUUCUCUGUCACUUUUCUCUGAAGUCACCUAUGGUUUUGGUUGCAAAAAGGACAGUCUGAUGUUCCUGGAGGAUGACAGCCCCCAGGAUCUGAAGGUGUAACUGUGGUUGCUGCUGUUUUGGUGUGGGAGUCGCAGAAGAUUUGUAUUGUAAUAUCAAAACUAAGACGCUUUUAA
Neopsephotus bourkii (Bourke's parrot) is the source of this 676-nucleotide long non-coding RNA. RefSeq lists it as uncharacterized. The transcript is spliced from 3 exons. NCBI's taxonomy places the organism in Eukaryota, Metazoa, Chordata, Aves, Psittaciformes, Psittacidae. The record is from RefSeq and is a predicted model, not a curated record.